RNAcentral lists this ribosomal RNA (264 nucleotides) under uncultured bacterium. Its description in RNAcentral is "partial 16S ribosomal RNA". It matches the Rfam family "Bacterial small subunit ribosomal RNA", at positions 793 to 1055 of the family's 1533-position model. The record is from RNAcentral.
GUCCACGCCCUAAACGAUGCGAACUGGACGUUGGGAGCAAUCAGGCUCUCAGUGUCGAAGCUAACGCGUUAAGUUCGCCGCCUGGGGAGUACGGUCGCAAGACUGAAACUCAAAGGAAUUGACGGGGCCCGGCACAAGCGGUGGAGUAUGUGGUUUAAUUCGAUGCAACGCGAAGAACCUUACCUGGCCUUGACAUCCACGGAAUCCUUUAGAGAUAGAGGAGUGCCUUCGGGAACCGUGAGACAGGUGCUGCAUGGCUGUCGU